Molecule: long non-coding RNA, 230 nt
Filed under: Lathyrus oleraceus (garden pea)
Lineage: Eukaryota; Viridiplantae; Streptophyta; Magnoliopsida; Fabales; Fabaceae
Description: Pisum sativum (pea) long non-coding RNA (PSAT_LNC009311)
Source: RNAcentral
AUAAUGCAAUUGGUCUCACAUUUUUUGGACCAAUAAUGAGUGAGAUAUAAUUUUUUGAAAUGAAAUGGAAUAAAAAAAUAAAAUGGAAAUUAAAAUCAGAAAUUAAAAAUAAUAAAAAAUGUGAGGCGUUGGAUCAGAAGCUCAUUAAUUGAGCUGGCACAUCACAUGGAUCAUAUGCGCGCAUCCACCAUACACUCAAGUCAAAGCGAAACACCUGGCCUUUAAAAAAG